ACUAUGCUUAAGGUUAGAGAAGAACAAUUAUACUUCUGGUUCUGUUGGUGUUUUCCACCAAUAGGGCCCAUGCACUUGAUCUCUGCCUUGUCUUUAUGAACAGGUACACUUCAAGUAAAACAUGGAGGAGUUUUACAACUCCCAGACUCCACCAAGUGAAGGACCUGGAUCUAUGAGCACAAACACACUGAGCAGGAUAUUGCCAACACCGCACUUCGAACUGCUAGGCAAUCAAAGACAGUGAGAAGUCUUGUCCAGAAGAUUUAAAACUUUGGAUCCUUGUCAGAGGAGGUCAAGAUCGUCGACUCAAGUUACCUUUCUUGAUCAAGAAGGACGACCCUGGUGUUCCAAGCAUUGAGUGCACAAUCAACAGAUACUCUUUUUAGAAGACACUCUACGACACCGGAUCUAACGUCAACAUAAUGGCCGCAGUCACUUAUCAGCUCCUGCAUGGAACCAUGCCCCUACAACCAAUAUAUAUUCAGCUCCAGAUGACUUUCAGAUCAUUGACAUAGGAGAAGACGAGUACGAUCCACCCAUCAUCCUUGGAAGACCAUUCCUCAACACUAUCAAAGUUAUCAUCUACAUUGGAAUCGGAGAAGUCCACGUGUACUUCGCCUCUGAGAAGGUACACCGCUAUUUUACUGACCCUAACUAUAUAGUUGAAGACUCUAAGCAGGUCAGGACAAGAAGAAGACAACACAACCGCAACCAGAGGAGGCAAAUCAUCAAGGACAGAUGGGUAGACUACGAGGGAGAAGUGAUAAGGUCUAAAGACAUAUAGCUUGAACAAAACUGUCCUGAGGAGACCGUAGCACCGAGUCAGGUGUGGAGAGAGAAGAUAGUUAUACACGAAGAGGAGGCGCCACCGGAAUCACUGACUAUGCCACCCAGCGAAUCCCAGCACGACUGAGAAAACAGAGAGUCCCGUUCGGAGGACUUAAAAACACCGACCGCCUUGCCAAGAGGUAAACUUGGUAGUUAUCCUUUUCCCUUCAAUUAUUUUGUUUAGUUUAUUAGGUUCAUAUCAUCUCGAAAAGAAAAUAAAAAUGUUAAAAAUAGUAAGCCCCAUGUGAGUAGACUUGUGGUUUAAAAACCCAUAGGUAUAUUGACUGUGGUGGCAUAAAAUAAAUAUGUUUUCAUCUUACAAUAAAAAAAUAUAAAUAAUAAGUGCAUGAUCUUGCUAAAUAAAUAAUAAUUAUUAAGGAGUCUCAACAUGAUAAAGGCUAGAUAUUUAUGCUAACACUUAAUCAGUUCCACAAGCUUUGUUGUCUAUUUGAGCUCCACAGGAUUUAAGAAUCAAGAAGACUAGCAGACGGAGGACAUUUUAAUCGCUGUGAGAAUGCUGCUGACUUUCAAAUACACCUCUGCCACCUGCUAACUACCUCAAGAGAAAUUACGUCAAAAUUCAUCUUGGGGGAGAGCACCCCCAUUUAUCCCGAUAAGUAUUUCUAUCUAUCUAUCUAUCUAUCUAUCUAUCUUUAUACUUAUACUAUAUUAAAAUAUAAAUAUACAUAAACCAGGAAAAACCAAAUAAAGAUUUUAUGCUUAUAUAUAUAUCUUUGCUUAGUUUGCUAAAUAAAUAAAUAAAUAAAGUUUGCUAUGAACCCUCAUGAUAAGCUCUCACAUGGAAAUGAUAAAUAGUUGCUCUGCCAUGACUAGUUCUUAAAAUUGAAAUAUCUCUCAAGUUUAGGCAUAAUUGUUAUAAUUUAAACCUGCUCUAAACCUAACUUGUGGGAAGAGUACUUGAUCUAAAGUCUAAGUCGUUAACGGAUAUGAUAUGGGAAGGUUGAGCUACUGUUUAUUUGUUCCUAGAGAUGCUAGAAUUCUGGAGAAUUUUAUCUUCGAAAAUCUUUAAAAUAACACAUGAUGAGUUCCUGUAUGAUGAGAGUUUAAAUUCCUACCACAGCCAUAUAUACAUGCUUGCUAGACUUUGAGCCACACAUUUACUUUUUACUGCUUAUGAGCAUUGAGUAUGGUCAAGCUGUGUAGACCCUUAGGAGCUUGUCAUGUAGUUAAAAUCAAGACUCACUUGCAUGUUCACUCGUAUAUGCUGCUUCUAUUCCGGAAGUACGCAUCCACAUACAUCCACUCAUUUCCAUCUCUAGAUUCACCCAAAAUUAUUCUACUCCUAAUCCGAGAGAGAAUAGCCAAAAACAAUUUCCUAUCCCUGUUAUUCCCUGCGAAAUAAAUGCUCCAGUUAUUUUGGUUACUACCACUUGCUACAUUAUUUCAGGAGAUGAGUGCUCUAAAAAAAAGAAGAAAAAAAAUAAUAUACGAGGAAAUAAAAAGGGGCAAGUGCCCGGAACCUCGAAGAAAAGAAAAAGUGAGACGAGAGGUAAAAAUGGACAAGUGUCCGACAGUAGAAUUAGGGGUACAAGAUACCCACCUGAGAGGAAGAAAAAGAAAAUAUAGAGCAUCUCAUUCUCCUAAAAAAGCUUCAAAGUGCAAGAAAGGUAUGUAUCCCCUUAAAAGAGCAAAAGUAGAAUUAGACUUUCACCAUUGUUAUCACCAUCAUCACCAUACACCAUUCACUCGCCACACAUGCACAUCUUGAUUUGACUUAUUGACUUGUUUCUCUGGAUCCAUGGUUUGACUAUGCAAUAAAUGUCUUUUAAGUAUGUAUUAGCUGUCUCCCACCUAUGAGCUCCAGAUAUCAAAACCUUAUUAGAGAGAAGGCAAUAUCACUAUACCUCAUACCACAAAUACUACAUACUUUGAGAGAAGGCAUAUACCAUUACUGCCUUGGUAAGGAUCCAGAAAUACCACAAAAGAGAGAUCUAAGAGAGUCAUACAAGGAAUCUCUGUGUUUUAUUUGAAAAUCUGCAAAAACUCCAGAGCUAUAGCUGAUCAAGAAUAAGAGACAUGGCGCUUGACUUGACCGUUCUAUCUUUUAACUACUCAAGACACAAGACGGUUACAAGCCCCAUGGUGAAAGGUAAAAUGAGUAAGUUUUAAGUCUUAACAGUUUAUUCUAACUCAGAGAUGAGAUCUUGCUUGAAUGCGUGUGUACUUUUAAGGCAUGAAACCACUGCAGAAACUCUUGAGUUCAUCCUUGCUCAGGGACGAGCAAGAGGUAAGCUUGGGGGAGUUGUUGACGGUCCUUAAGUACCAAAUAUAAUCAUCAAAUAAAUAAAGAAAAGGAAACAAAUGCAACCAACACCCAGACUUAGGGUUUUAUCUAAUAGAAUUCAAAGAGUUUUGGUGUUUGUCUAUUUCUGCAGGGGGUUAUCAGGAAAUACGGAGGAAAGGCCCACAUGUCAGGAUUACAGAGAAAUAUCAACACACCGUGCAAUUUUCUACCAUCUAGAAGACUCCAGAAGCCACGGGGAGAAAGCAGAGGCCGAAAGGGGCCAGGCCCAGGGCGCCCGCCCUCCUUCCCUGGGCGCCCGCCCUGUCCUGGACUUCGUUCGGGACUCUCUUCGCACAUGAUGUUCCACCGACCUAAAGGAUCAAGGAUAAUGUAGUACCACAUCGCCUACCGACCCAAAAACGCAUAAAGGAGGAGGACUAUAUAAGGAGACCCCCCUGGCCCCUGGAGAAGACAAGAAGUUAUCAUAGAGAUUGAGGGGUGCCCUCGAAGGAAAACCUCUUCUCUAAAUAAAAUUUCUUUUUAGGCUUAGCAACCAAUGUAAGUAGAAAUAGAUCUUCUAGUUUCUACUAGAUUGAGAGAGAUAGAGUGGAGGUGUAGAUCGGAUGAAGGCCGGCCUGUCGGUGUCUACUCCGAGUUGUACCUGCGGGAUCAAGUCUUCUAACCCGAGGCUUGCUCCUAAGAUUCUUCAGUAAUUCGACUUCUAAUUCUAGUAAGUUCUUGUUUUAUUGUUCUUUGGUUUAUGAGUUUACUUUAAUCCUCUUCCGGUUGAGUAUUAGAGUAAUCAUUGCUAGCGUAAACGUGGUGUUUAGGCUAGGGUACUCAUAGAUAUCCCCUGACUAGCUGGACCGUGGUAGUAGCGAGGAACGUGACAUUUCCGAGUUACCUUUGUAUCCCAUAUCUUGUUAGCAGGACGGGUAGGUUUAUAGGUGCGGGUCGAACAUCCUUUGUGGUGUCUAGAUUCCGUAAGCUUCCCCAAUAGAACAGUAGAUCAUCCAUACCAAGGUUAGAACGAGACUACGGUUGCAGUCUUCUCUAUACAUCACUCACAUUGAGAAACAUUCUUUGUAGCCUAAAGGGAUAGUAGCAAUAGAUUUGGUUAGUCAGAUGCACCCUUUCUCCCAGUGGUAAAAAUAUAAAUACGAUACUCUGGAUAACCUCCCGGGUGAAAUGCUCACCGAUAUCCGUGCGCUUGCGGAUCAUUUCCUGAUUGCGUUACCAAAUAUCAACACCUGCUACUGUACGUUUUGAUUCCAGAGCUUCGUAUUCUUUCAUCUCACAAGCUUUUGUUAGAGUACAUAGCAUAGCUUUAUGUGCCAUGAAAAACUCAAUGCUAGUGAAUUCACCGGGGGGUACUAUGCCAGCUAAGUAUUGGAGUCCCUCCACUAGUGUUUCUCUAAGGGGGGUAGAGUUCAAAGUAAACCCCAUUGUGCUAAGAACUUCUGGUAUUGACCUUAUCCUUGGGAUGGAUUGGAUGAAGCAACAUCGGGCAGUGAUUCAAUGCCAGGAGAAGUUUGUGGUAGUAACAUCACCUAAAGGGGAUAGAAUUUGUGUAGAAGUGGCAGUGCAAGCGCCUCCAACUGCUACCGUGAACCAGUUGACUGAUGAGGUCAAUGAGGAGAACCAAGUGGUGGAUGACUUCCCUAAUGUGUUCCCUGAUGAAUUGCCAGGUAUGCCACCUGACCGAGACAUCGAAUUCCUUAUUGAACUUUUACCUGGAACUGCACCUAUAGCUAAAAGACCUUAUAGAAUGGUAGUGAAUGAACUAGAGGAACUUAAGAAACAAAUUAAGGAGUUGUUAGAGAAGGGUUUUAUUCGUCCUAGUUCAUCACCUUGGCGAGCACCCGUUAUCUUUGUCGAUAAGAAAGAUGGUACCAGGAGAAUGUGUGUGGAUUACCGGUCACUAAAUGAAGUAACCAUAAAAAACAAGUACCCUUUGCCUAGAAUUGAUGACAUGUUUGAUUAGUUAAAAGGUGCUUGUGUGUUCUCAAAAAUAGACCUUCGAUCCGGUUAUUACCAGCUGAAAAUCCGUGCAUCGGAUGUACCUAAGACAGCUUUUACUACCAGGUAUGGCCUGUAUGAGUACACAGUUAUGUCUUUUGGGCUGACCAAUGCACCCGCAUAUUUCAUGUACCUCAUGAACAAGGUGUUCAUGGAGUUCUUGGAUAAGUUUGUAGUGGUGUUCAUUGAUGACAUACUUAUCUUUUCCAAAACUAUAGAGGAACAUGCGGAGCAUCUGAGGCUAGUCUUACAAAAGCUUAGAUAACAUAAGCUAUAUGCCAAAAGAAGCAAGUGUGAGUUUUGGCUAAAGGAGGUCUCCUUUCUAGGACAUGUGGUUUCUAAUGGAGGGAUAGCCGUGGACCCUAGCUAGGUGCAAGAUGUGUUGAAUUGGAAACCGCCGACCAAUGUGAGUGAAAUCCAUAGCUUUCUAGGAUUGGCCGGAUAUUAUAGGAGAUUCAUUGAAGGAUUCUCUAAACUUGCUAAGCCCAUGACGGCCUUAUUAGAGAAGAGUGCUAAGUUUGUUUGGUCAGACAAAUGCCAGGCUAACUUUGAGGAGUUAAAGAAGAGGUUGACCACAACUCCAGUGUUGACCUUACCUGACUUAAGCAAGAGCUUCUCCGUCUAUUGUGAUGCUUCUCGCUUAGGUUUAGGUUGUGUGCUCAUGCAAGAAGGAAGAGUAGUGGCCUAUGCAUCUAGGCAGUUGAGGAAACAUGAGUUGAAUUACCCUACUCAUGAUAUGGAUCUAGCCGCAGUGGUCCAUGCCUUAAAAAUCUGGAGGCAUUACUUGAUUGGUCAUAAGUGUGAAAUUUACACAGACCAUAGGAGCCUAAAGUAUAUUUUCACCCAGUCAGACCUGAAUCUGAAGCAACGUCGUUGGUUAGAGCUGAUCAAGGAUUACGACCUGGAAGUGCAUUAUCACCCUGGGAAAGCAAAUGUAGUUGCAGAUGCACUUAGUAGGAAAAGCUAUGUCAACAGAGUUCAGCUAACAUUUAUUCCAGCUGAGUUGCAAGCCAAAAUAGAACACCUCAACAUAGGCUUUGUGAAUCAUACCAUGGGUCUAGAGAUAGAGCCAACAUUAGAACAAGAGAUACGUAAGAGUCAGUUGGAGGAUGAGAAAUUAAAAGAGAUAGCAGAUAAUGUAGUGCUUGGAAAGGCACCAGGCUUCAGGAUAGAUGAGAAUGGUACCCUAUGGUUUGGGAAAAGGAUAUGUGUGCCUGAAGUGAAGGCUAUCCGAGACACAAUUCUACGUGAGGCGCAUGACUCUGCUUAUUCAAUACACCCUGGGAGUACCAAGAUGUAUUUGGACCUAAAGGAGAGAUAUUGGUGGUAUGUAUUGAAAAGGGAUGUAGCAGACUAUAUUGCUCUGUGUGACACCUGUCAGAGGGUGAAAGCUGAGCACCAACGACCUGCAGGGUUGUUGCAACCAAUGCAGAUACUCGAAUGGAAAUGGGAAGAAGUCGGUAUGGACUUUAUUCCUGGGAUGCCAUGUACUCAACGUGGGUAUGACUCGAUUUGUGUAAUAGUAGACCGACUCACUAAGGUUGCACAUUUCUUACCAGUCAAAACCAACUACAAAGGGGCAAGGUUAGCCGAGCUGUACAUGGAAAGGAUUGUGUGCUUACACGGAGUUCCAAAGAAGAUCAUGUCUGAUCGAGGAACUCAGUUUACAUCGCACUUUUGGCACAAAGUACGUAGAUCCUUGGGAACUAAGCUGAACUUCAGUUCUGCUUAUCAUCCCCAGACUGAUGGACAGACAGAGAGAAUUAAUCAAAUCUUGGAGGACAUGCUGAGAGCUUGUGCUCUGUAGUAUGGCACUAGUUGGGACAAAAGUCUGCCGUAUGCUGAGUUUUCCUAUAACAACAGCUACCAGAAGAGUCUCAAGAUUGCACCAUUUGAAGCUUUGUAUGGUCGCAAGUGUAGGACACCUUUAUUCUGGAAUCAAACUGGUGAGACACAGGUGUUUGGACCAGACGUCCUAAGAAGUGCUGAAGAACAAGUGAGGAUGAUUAGGGACAAUCUAAGAGUGGCUCAGUCCAGACAGAAAAGUUAUGCCGACACCCGAAGAAGGGAUUUGAGCUUCAAAGAGGGUGAUUUUGUAUAUCUGAAGGUAUCUCCAAUGAGGAGUGUGAAGAGAUUCAAUGUGAAGGGUAAGCUAGCACCGAGAUACGUCGGACCUUUCAGGAUUCUUGCAAGACAUGGAGAAGUAGCCUAUCUGUUAGAACUUCGUGAGAGCUUGUCAGGUGUACAUGAUGUAUUCCAUGUUUCUCAGUGGAAGAAGUGUUUGCGGGUACCUGAAGAGCAGAUUCCUAUAGAAGAGUUGACCGUUAAAGAAGAUCUCACAUAUGAAGAGUACCCGAUAAAGAUCUUGGAAACUGCAGACAGAGUUACAAGAAGCAGAACUAUAAAGAUGUGUAAAGUACAGUGGAACCAUUAUACCGAAGAUGAAGCCACCUGGGAAAGAGAAGAGGAUUUGAGAAAGUCGUAUCCACAACUGUUUGAGUAAGCAUCACCCAAUCUCGAGGACGAGAUUAUUUUUUAAGGGGGUAGAAUUGUAACACCUAAAAUUUGGCUCUUUUAAAAAUAGAUGAAUUUGACUUUAUUAAAUAAUUUUGUGAGCAUUUUCAAUAUAGAAAAUAAAUAAAUUUGGGGAAAUUAAAACUUAAUAUAAGUUUAGACUAAUAUUUUUGUUGAAUGCAUGAUGGUGCACUUCUUUUAUGUGAUGAGUGGUUUUGAACAAAGGAAUUUGAAUUCAAAAAUUCAUUUGGAAAAGAGUUUGAAAAUUUUGUUUGGAAAAUAAAAAGGAAAAAAGCUUUUCUCUCUCCCCCUUCCUUCUUUUCGGCCAUUUUGGCCCAAACCCCGCGCCCCCUUCCUGGGCCGCGGCCCAGCCGGCUCCCCCUCCCUUCCCCCUCUCUCUCUCUGGCGGCUGACGGGUGGGGCCCACCCGUUAGGUCUUUCCCCUUCCUCCUACCGCCCGCCCGAUCUUCUCUCUCUCAGUUGAAAACCGCCAAGCCGCGCCCCGCUCCCCCACGAUCCUCUCCUCUACCCCGCGCCCAGAUAAGUAGUGGGCUGAGAGCCGCGCGCCUCCUUCUCCUGCCCAGUUCCCCUCCCCUCGCCUCUGCUCCCAACCGCGAGCGCGCAGAGAGAACCGUCGCCGGGUCGCCGGAGAAUUUCGUCGGUCGCGCGAAGCCGCUGCUCUGAGCCGUCUUCGUCUUCCUUCUUCGCGUCGGUGAGUGCGCCUCGUCCUCCUCUCCCUCUUCGGCCUUCUCCCGAGCGAGGUGGUGCUCUCUAGGGUCGUCCCCGCAUGCUUCGAAGGUGCCAUCAAUGGCGGCUCUGUCGGUCGCUUUGCGGGGGAGUUUUCGGGUCAUUCCGAGGCCGGGAGCGAGUUCGCCGCGACCUCCUCUCUCUCUCCCAGUGUAUUUAGUUCGCGAAACCGAGUGUUGUAGCAUGUUUUUGGGUGUCUCCGGCGAGCUCGGGCCGGUCGGCCAUGGACCGCCUCCUGCUUCAUCUCCGGCGGCCGCGCCCCCCUGUUUCUCUCUCUCUUUCUCAUCUUGUAAUCUGAGCCGUGGAUCUCUAAUCCGAUGGCCCAGAGUGCUCCAUACCCCUUCGGGGGCAAUCUUGUUAAAGAGUCCCCCAAAAAUAUUGAAAAUCGCACCGCAGUCCUCGGCCAGAGGGAUUUUUUCCAGGAUUUAAUUCAUUUAUUUAAAUUUGUUUAAACUCUGCUUUAUUUACAGAAUUGCCGCCGCAUUGUUUUAGCUACAAAAUCAUCGUUUGAACUCCGAAUCGAUCCGUUCAAGUUGCGUUAGUUUCGUAAUUUCAUAAGCUUCGCGUUGGUACUACUGUUGUUUAGCUUUACCACUGUUAGAUUUCCUAGUUAAUUAUAGGACCGUAGAUUGCUGUUGAAAUCCCGUUAAAAGCGUAACUUUCGCGUCGUGAAUUUCGCGUUGACGUGAUCGUAGCAGCACGUAGAUAAUUUUGGAAAACUUUUAUUUAAUUUAUUUACUGCUGGUGUACUGUUCUAACUUUCAGAAUUGUUCUCUUGCAUGUUUGUCUUGGUAUGCGUGAUGAUUGUGAUGUGUUGAUCGAGCCCAGACGGUGAGGAGUAUUUCGGGAGUCCGGAGCUCUUUGGGGACCAGCAGGACUAGCUAGACCAGCAGGAGUACGUGAACCAAGGCAAGUAUAGCAUGGGCCUACCUUGUUGUCCUAUUCAUUUUUAAGCAUUUCACCCUACAUGUGUAUAAUAUUGCAAACUAUAAGGACAUCCUAGCUGUUGAUGACAAUUAUCUUGUUCCCGAGGGUUUUUAUUGCAUAUGGGUAGAAGUGCUAGUGCUCUAACUCCAAUUAUAUAUGAUCUGAAAUCAGUGAUGGAACCAUGGUUAAUUGAUUAAAUAUGAUUAUGAUAAAUGGAACAUAGGGCUAUGGUACAAAAGACCAUUGGUCAUGUUGUCCUAGACCCUCCGUAAGGACUUAUCUGUCAGCAAAAGCUGGGACUUACAGUGCAACUGGGAGAGUCACAUGGCUCUGACUUUAGUUCAGUAAUAGGAUCUUUUUCUAACUCGUUAGAGGUUACCCGAAAGGGCGCAAGAGGGGCUUGCCACUUUGGGUGUAGUGCUACCCCUGUUUCUAUGAGUAUAGUCGCGAUGGAAAUGUGCCAUAGAAAAGGGGGGUUUUCUACAUCUGCCUGCCAAGAAAACCUCAUGGCUCUAACUGGUUAGAAUAGGCCUAUGAAAGGCUUCAUAAUGUACCCUGCCCGCUCACCUUGGUAGUGUUUGGGGGUCGACGGACCCCGGGCAUAUGGGCAACACGACUCACGGUGAAAGUGCACAACCUCUGCAGAGUGUAUAACUGUUAUAACAGUCGUGCUCACGGUCACGAGCGGCCCGGAAAACUCACAGAAUAACUGGUUACUGAUGGCUUUAUGGUACAUGAUGAUGUAUAAUUAUGCUUUAAUGUCACUUAAUGACUUAGUAUGGUUCUAAUAACUGAUCAUAUGGGAUAUUAGGAGCUUAAGCAUAAACUAAUAAUAAUUAAAGAUAAAAUACUGACCUACUAAAAAGCUAAUGCAGUAAACCUAGUCUAGCCUGUUUGAGCCUCAUAAAUCCUCAUGCUAUGCUUGUGGAGUACGAGAUGUACUCAAGCUUGUAUAUUUCUUUUCUUUGGAUAAAAAUCCCGGAUGGGUAACAGAUGGUGGUAGCUAUGAGGACUACCCGGAGGACUAUUAGGCUUGUGCUUCACCAAUCGACCUUCCCUGUGUGAGGGCCAGGAGAUAGUUAUCUUAGAUUAUCUUAUUUAUAUUUCCACUGUUGUACCAGACUUUGUGAUGUAAUAACUAUGUUUGUUGUAAACACUGCGAUGAUGGUAUUUAAUUUGUGACUUAUUUGUGUGAUUGAUCUCUGGGCACACAUAAGUUUAUGCAUUCAAUUUCUUCCUUGAAAUUGGGUGUGACAAAUUGGUAUCAGAGCCGUGUUGACCGCAGGACGCAAGCCUAGGUAGCAAUGGUCGAUAGAGUAUCUUUAUUUUGUUUAUUUAAUGCUUUCUACCUUACUUUUUGUUAUUUUAUAAAAUUUAUUAUGCUUAUAUCACUUAUUCUAUUGCCAAAAUGUUGAUCUAAUCUUAAAUUAAAAUUUAUAGAUGCCACCUGUCACGAGGUCUCGCCGCGCCAGCACCAGGAGCUACAUCUCUUAGUUCACGCCCCAGUCGUCCCAACCAGUGGUGGACAUCUCCAACGACGAGACUGUCCCUAUGGAUGAAGAGGAUCCAGCGAUGGUGACAGAGGUGGAUGAUGACGAUGAAAACUGGAUGGACUCUCCUGUAGCAGCUGCACCUGUUCCACCCACUGCACCCACUCCACCAGUUGUUCCAGUGGCACCUGUUGCACCUACACCACCAGCUCCACCAGUUGCACCUGCUGCCCCUGCUGUACCAGAGGUUGUGUCUCCAGAUUGUCCUGAGGAAGAAGACCCAGGAUGGACUACCACCAUCCACUACAAGUAUCCUUCACAGACAGCCUACUUCCACAACUUGCUUAGGGAGAUGUUGGAUACUUACUAUGCUGAUAAGGAGAUUGGCAUCAGGUAUUGUUUGUUGUGCAGAGUACACACACCCCUAUGAGGCCACAUAUUGGAGGUCGAAUCUUACCAUCACAGUGGGGAAUGAGACACAUCACAGUUAUAUGGUAGAGAGCAUUCAUGGUCACAUUGCUAGGCGAGCUUAGGCACAGGACAGCAUGGAGGACGCCGCCCAGAUGGCUUACACUCACUACCAUGGCCUUCGCUAUGAGACCAUGAGAGCAGACCAGAACAAGUUCCUCCCUCGCCAUGAUUCUACUAUUCGUACUUGGUCCAUCGAGAACCCGCAGGAGGUUGACACGCCCUUGGAUGCCACUAUUAGGCAUAUGCAUGUCCUGCAGAUGGCCAAUGCACUGGUGCAUGAUCGGGCAUUAGCACCGGUCGGGAAGGGCCUGUUGCCCCGGUUCCCGAGCCGGUGCUGCCCUUCCGGGACUAAAGGCCCACCCUUUAGUCCCGGUUCUGGCAACCGGGGCUAAAGCCCCCCCUUUAACACCGGUUGGUAAUACCAACCGGUGUUAAUGGUCCUGCCAGGGCUGCCACGUUGCAGGACCCUUUAACACUGGUUGGUAUUACCAACCGGUGUUAAAGGGUUUCUUUUUCUUUUUUUUUGGUUUACUUCUUCGGUACUGUUUAUUGUUUAUAUAUAAUAUAUAAUAAUAGGUUUUUCAAUACAUGUUUUGCUGAUACAAUAAUAUAUUUAUAUUACACGCAUAUUAAGCAUAUAUAAAUGAAAAUUAUAGGCUUAGCGGAAUAAUUAAGCUUUGCCUAUAAUAAAAUGAAUAGACCACAUCAAAAAUUAAAUAGAUAUGUAAAAAGCUUUAUAUAUAUAUAUAGUUUUAUAUGUACAAAAUUCGUAACACAUAUAUACAUAGAGUUUUUUCUCCCAAUGUCUACAAACGAUACAAAUGAUCAUCGUUGUUUGGAAUAAGAGUUUCGUUGUCGUUGAAGUGAAACUCGCCGUUUGGAUUGAUCACUUGGUCGCGGAGAAAUCCUGCUAUCGUCUCUUGGAUAGCUUUGAUUCGGUCUUGUUGUAGGACCUUUUCCCUCAACCAUUCUGUCUUUAAUUUGAAAUAAAUAAAAAAGGUAUUAGUUAUCUAAGUUAUUCAAUAUAAUUCAGGAGAUAAUGAAAAGAGACAUGUAACGUACUCUGAGCGUCUCUGUGGGUGUUUGAUUGACUUGUGCCAUCAUGAAUUUGCAUACGUAAUAUGCACAUAGAUUGUUCCCCUCUUCUUGUCUUAAACACCACUGUACGAUAUAUAUAUAUAAAUAUUCACGACCACGACAAUAAGAAGGCUAAAAGUUAGCGAAAGUUUGUUAGCUAGUAGAACUUACUUGUGGAUGUAUUAUGUUAAGCGGCGCUUUACAUCCACUGAGAUGUUCACGGUCAAUGAAUCUUUCCCAAACCCUAUACACCGCCAUUGUGGAUCGUGAACUAAUAAUUACAGAGUCAUAUUAUGAUAUUUUUGUAGCUGAGAUCGACAUUACGUACCUUUGAAUAAUGUUUACCAUUUGUUGAUAAUUUUCUUGUGGUUUUCUCAUUGAGUCAAAGAUUAUCAACCAGUUCUUGGGAAUUUCAAUGACCAUGAGUAUCCAGUGAAAGCUGUUUACACACAUAUAUAUAGUCAGUCCUAUAAUGUAAAAUAAAAUAUGCAUGCACUUAAUAACUAUAUAACUCACUCGAAGUUGAAGGGGAAGAGUAUUUUUUGUUUUUCUUUUUGGUUCACAAAGAACCUCAUAAGAUUGGUGCAGACUUCUAUCUCAUGAUCUGCUGUCCACACUGUCUGCGGAGCCUUGAAAACAAUAUAAGGGUCAACGAACCCAAUACUAUUGUCAUUUCACAUUCUGAGCUCUCUCAUUUGGUGCCUGCAUAUAUACAUACAAAUCCUAAGUGUGUAAGGAUUAUAUACAUGUAAUUAAAGAAGUUAGAAGUAUAAUAAAAAGAAAAAAAUACUUACAGACAAAAGCAGCUGACAAGAGAUUUGUCAAGAGCGUCGAGGUGGCAUAAUUGGUGCAAUUCUUCGAACUGCACGUAUAUGAGGUCAUCUCCACGGAAGUAGUGAUGUUGUCUAAUACGAACAGAAAUCCAAUUCUCUCCCCUUUUAGAUGCCUCAAUGCACCAUUUGUUUAUUGCAAACAUUUGUGUGCCGAGCUCAUGUGAACGCUUAGGGUCGAAUAGACUCCUGCCCGGUUCAUAUCUUGCCCUCCAUUGAUCAACUACCUCGGCUUUUUCAAAUGUUUGGCAUCCAAGAAUGACGGCAAUUUCUUCCAUAUUUAAACCGCUCUGUCCAAAGUAACGCUCAAGCGAGUCUAGCUCAGACAACGCUAAGGAUUUCUUUGGCAUCAAGUCUUCAUUUGAGUCGUAUUGAUUUGGCACAAUCAAAGGGGGCACCAGUUUUGAUACUUCUCCGAGCUGUGGGACCCCCUUUCCUAGUCUCUUCUUAGUAGGCUGUGAAGACUUGACCAGAGACCGCUCAUAGUCCGAAAGUGCUGGCUUUUUCUGAGCUUCGCGUUGCUUCUUUUGAUGGUCCGCCACCUUCUGCCUCAGUUCCGAUGGCUUCACAUAAAAAUACGGCUUUUCUGGGUUAAGCCGUUUUUUCCUAUCCUCCUUUAUUUUAUCAAAAAAUUGUUGGACCUCAGCUUUGGAUGUAGCAAUUACCUCCUCUUCACUCUUUUCGUAAGGUAAUUUUUCUGGCGUCUUAGCUCUCUUUGCUGAGGCAGCCUUCUUUGGAGGUGGGACCGAUGACUUCGGUCCUUCUUGGGCGGCCCGCUUCUUACUACCUCGCUUUGGAGGCGAGGGGACCGACCGUGCACUCUUUGGAGAGGGCGGUGCAGGCGGUGGAGGUGGUGGGGCCGAUCUUUUUGGCGUUGGAGAACGCGGUGGAGGAGUUGGAGACCUCGGUGGAGGAGUUGGAGACCUCGGUGGAGGAGGUGGAGACCGUGGUGGAGGCGGUGGCGGGGUCGGUGUGGCCACCGCAGGUGUUGGAGGAGAUCCAGCAUUGUCACCGCCCGCAGCACUAUGAUGCACUGGGGAGAGAACUGGACUUAGGCUCGAGGAGUCCCUGCAAAGAAAACAAUUACAAGUUUUGUGAGCAAAUUUUUUUUUAAUUUCAAUACAUAAUAAAUAAUAUAAGAAGUAAAAUCACACACAAACCUAUGCUGAGGAAUAAUUAUGAAGCGCUUGCGCCAACAAAUAAAUGCCUUCUCAGCUUCACCUAAGGUCUUCUCUCCGUCUCCCCCUUCUAUGUCUAGUGGCACAUUGCCACAACCUUUCUCAACCCUAUCAACCGAGACGCUAGCAUAUCCACUAGGUACUGGUCGAUUAUGGAUUCUUGGAGUUCUCGUUCGGUCGAUAGGGUUGACAACAGCGAUAGCCACCUUUUUGGUGGCAUUCCCAUCUGGUACAUGUAGCUCACAGGUAGUAAAAGCCUCUGUGACAUCAUCCACGGGGAAGUGUAGCUUCGUGUCAUCCUGAAUGGUUGGUACUUCCGUGGAUGCACAGCUGCUUUUCAACUGGCCUGGGGGGCUAACAUUGACCUUAGGCUGUGAUGUACCUUGACCUUUCGUCAUUUGACUAAGUGCUGCUUGCACUUGCCUUUGAAUCUCUGCCUGCAUCCAUUCUUCACGAGCUUUCUCGCGCUCUUGUGACUGCAGAACAAAAGCUUCCAGGCGGCGGAUCCGCUCUGCCUCCUCAUCCUUCUUUCUCUGGCGGCUUUUGUAGGUAUCUUGAUCGGCUUGGAAUGAUUGCAGCCACGGAACUGCACCAUAGCCUCUCGUACGCCCACCAUGCUCAGGAUUUUCAAGCGCAUAGGUGAGUUCAUCCUUCUCCCUGUUAGGCCUGAACUCACCAGACUAAACCGCCUCUCGUGCACGGACUAGUCUCUCUGCUGCUCUAGAGAUUUCUUGGCCCCAAACUAGCGCCCCGGUGUCUGGGUCCACGCUUUCCCCAUGACCGUAGAACCAAUGCUUGGAGCGCUCGCUCCAAUUCUUUGCUAUUGUCUCGGGUGUGACCCCCCUAGCAAGCAUCUCCUGUUCCAUUCGGUCCCACUUGGGAACAACACUCUUAUAACCACCUGAUCCCAUAUGAUGGUGGUAUGUCUUUUUACUGGCAUUCUCUUUGUUUCUAUUGGCUCGUUCCUCGCCCUCUUCUGAUGUUUUGUACUGCACAAAGUCAUCCCAGAAGGCCCUCAGCUUUACAUAUUGCUUGAGGUUGAAAUUUGGAGUCUCGUUUUUCUUGACAUAUUUAUUGUACAAAGACUUCUUCCAAUUCUGGAAGAGUACUGCCAUCUUCUUCAUAGUCCAGUCAUAAAUUCGCACCUUCAACUCUUCAUCGUUGGUGUCGAAGGUGAAAACGUCUGUGACGGCUUUCCAAACUAACUCCUUGUCACGAUCAGAGACAAAACUGAUCUCAGGAGCACCUCGCUUCUCUUUCCAUUCACGAGCACUGAUCGGUAUUUGAUCUCUCACAAGAUAUCCACAGUGACUAACAUAUUUAUUUGCAUGCUCACCAAGUGGUCUGCCUGUAGCUAUCUCAAACUCAGAGAUUACAUAGCGGCCCUCCAACGGCUUCUUUGGCCCUCGUGGAGGUACGCUUCUCCCCGUACAGGUCGAUCCAGAAGGCUACACGUAGAUAUAGAAACAAAAAUACUAAAUUAAUAACCAAGUAAGUCUAAAACCUAAUGUAAGAGAUGCAUUAAUUAUAUAUAUUUACAUUUACAUACCUCGCCAGUAGGAUGGCCCUCUUGUUGCUCAGUAGGAUGGCCCUCUUGUUGCUCAGUAGGAUUGCCUUGCAUGAUAUCGUGGUAAUCAAUAAAGUACUGACUACCGUCAUCGAUUAUAUUUUGAAUGGCAUCUUCCAUAUAUUCACGAUCAUCAUGAGCGCGGUCAGCCAUUUCUAUGUCUGCAAUCAUACAUAUAUAUAUAUAUAUAUAUAUAUAUAUAUAUAUAUAUAUAUAUAAAAAUAUAUAUAUAUAUAUGUGUGUGUGUGUGUCUGACUAUAUAUAUAUACAAAAAAAAAAAUAUAGACAAAAACACUAGAAUAAUAUACUAGCACACAAUAUAUUUCAUAACAAUUCAAAACACUACAAUUCAUAAUAUACUAGAAUAACAUACUAAAAAGUCUUUUAAGCCAAGUAAUAUACUAGAAUAAUAUACUAAAAAAUAAUACUAUAAUAAUAGUAUAAACUAAUAGUAUAUGUUUUAAGCCAAGUAAUACACUUGCACAUAGAAUAAUGUACUAAAAAAUUAAUACUACUACAAAUUGAUACAAGAAUAAUAUAAGUGCAUAUAUAUACAUAAUAAGAAAUACACUAGAAUAAUAUAAGUGCUAGAGUGCUCCAAACUAAAAAGUAAUACUAAAAAAAUAAUACGGACAAUAACAUUAGAAUAAUAUACUAGCACACAAUAUAUUUCAUAACAAUUCAAAACACUAGCACACAAUAUAUUUCAUAACAAUUCAAAACACUACAAUUCAUAAUAUACUAGAAUAACAUACUAAAAAGUCUUUUAAGCCAAGUAAUAUACUAGAAUAAUAUACUAAAAUAUAAUACUAAAAAACAAUACUAAAAUAAUAGUAUAAACUAAUAGUAUAUGUUUUAAGCCAAGUAAUACACUUGCACAUAUAUAGAAUAAUGUACUAAAAAAUUAAUACUACUACAAAAUGAUACAAGAAUAAUAUAAGUGCAUAUAUAUACAUAAUAAUACAAAAUAAUAUAUAAACUGUUCGGUAUGAAAUAUAAGUGCAUAUAUAAUGAUACAAAAUAAUAGUACAUAAUUAAGUGCAUAUAAAAUAAUAGUAUAUAUACAUAAUGAUACAAAAUAAUAAUAUAGAAUAAUGAUACAAGAACAAAAUGAUACAAGAAUAAUAGUAUAUAUAUAUAUAUCUCUUAUAUAUAUAUAUAUGUAUGUGUAUGUAUGUAUAUAUAUAUAUAUAUAAACUGUUUGUAUUCAUAUAUAUCUAUACAAUUCAUAUAUACAAUUUUAGUCUAUACAUAUAAACUGUUUUGACAUUCAUCCAUAUAUAUAUAUAUACACACGAGCGAUCGAUGAAGAAAUAUACGUAGGAUCUGGUGGAGAGCCGCUGCAGCGGCGCUGGAGAUGAACGGCGGCGCUGGGGAGACAAACGGGCGGCGCUGGAGAUGGCGGCGGCGGCGCUGGAGACAAACGGCGGUGCUGGGGAGACGAACGGGCGGCGCUGGACGACGGCAGCGCGGAGGUCUCUGCUCGACGAAGACGAAGACGAAGGGAACUGCCCAGAUCCAGGGCGCCGGCGGCUUAUAUAGGGGCGGACCCUUUAGCACCAGUCUGUGGCUGGAACCGGUGCUAAAGGGUCUUUAACACCGGCUGGUAACACGCGCCGGUGCUAAAGGGUGACCCUUUAACACUGGCGCGUGUUACCAGCCGGUGUUAAAGCGAUCCUUUAGACUAUCUCCAACAAUCGUCACCCAAAAUAUAAGACCCAUUUGUCCUUUGGGUAGCGCUACAGGUAAAAGGUUCCAUACAUAUUUUUAGUCUUCUCCAACAACAAGACCUAAAAGACAACACUCUCUGCAAAUAGGUCUCGAGGAGAGAGGAUACCCAAAUUUGGGUUAUGCCUCUCCUGAUACCCAAAAUAGGUCUUCUGUAUGGGUACUUUGUUGGAGACUAUAGGUAUUGUGUUGGAGACCCAUUUUAGGUUUGGGUUUUCAAAUGAGUCUCCUGUUGGAGACAGCCUUAGCACCGGUUCCAGCCACGGACCGGUGCUAAAGGGUCCUGCGCGCGCUAGGGCGGGCUCCUGAAAUUUUCAGGACCCUUUAGCACCGGUUCCCACUAUGGGCCGGUGCUAAAGGCCCAUUUUUUUAGUUUAGGGUUUUUCAAUUGUUUUAUAUAUACAGUUUAUAUUAUAAAUUGUAUAAUAAAUUAAAUAUUUUGCAUAAUGUUUUUUAAACAGUGACAUAUAUUGUAAUUUGUUUUAAUGUACACAUGAAAAUUUUUAAACUUAAAUAUCUUAUUGUAUUUUUAUAAUUUACAAUGAUUUUGUAAGAAAUGUUUAGUAUUUUGUUAAUGCAAAAAUAUAUUAUUCCAAUAAAUUUACAAAAACUAUAUCCAAUGAACUGGAAAUUUAUUUUCACAUCAUAUUGACGUAAAACUUUUUAUUUUUGUUAUUUAUUACUAGGAAUGCUAGUUGGGUAUAAUUUUCAUCAAAUAAAAAAUCAUAUAAAAAUAUAUAUCUUGAUGAACACACCCUUUGACCGAACCCUAGAUUGUCCCAAAUGGAAAAGUCAUGAAUACAAAAUUUGCUACACUCAUCAAGUUCUACAUUUUGCCUAAUGGUCAACUUUUCAUUUGGAAAAGUUUGAACCACUGAAUUUUGAAUUUUCAUAGAACUCAUAGCCACGCAGCGGUUUCGGAACCCUAGAUGGUCUCGAAUGGAAAAGUCAUGAAUACCAAUAUUGUUCCACUCAUCAAAAUCUACAUUUCAUAUAUAGACCAUUUUUGCAUUUGACAAAGUUUUGGGAAGCUGUAGUUGAAAAUCCACAAUUGACACAUAUAGUUUCAUAUAGUUUGUGUGAGAUUCAAGAUUUGGUGGGUAUUGUUAACUUAGACUUUCUCAAAUGGAAAAGUUGUGUACAUAAAAAGUUUAGAUCUUGAUGAUAUCUAACAACUUGGUAUUCAAAAGUUUUUCAUUUGAAGUAAUUUAGUUUGUCAUUUGACCAAGUUUGACCAAAACCCGUCUUGGAUUUUAUAGAAAUAUAAUUAGGAUUGCCUCAAAAUUAUCCAAAUGGAAAAAUGGACAAUAUAUAAAAUAUAGAUCUUGAUGAUCUCUAACAACUUUGUAUUCAAACUUUUUUCAUUUGAAGUCAUCAAAUGGGACAUUUGACCAAGUUUGACCAAAGUCAAAGCAUUGGUUUUUACAAACACACCCUUUGACCGAACCCUAGAUUGUCCCAAAUGGAAAAGUCAUGAAUACAAAGUUUGCUACACUCAUCAAGUUCUACAUUUUGUCUAAUGGUCAACUUUUCAUUUGGAAAAGUUUGAACCACUGAAUUUUGAAUUAUCAUAGAACUCAUAGCCACGCAGCGGUUUCGGAACCCUAGAUGGUCUCGAAUGGAAAAGUCAUGAAUACUAAUAUUGUUCCACUCAUCAAAAUCUACAUUUCAUAUAUAGACCAUUUUUGCAUUUGACAAAGUUUUGGGAAGCUGUAGUUGAAAAUCCACAAUUGACACAUAUAGUUUCAUAUACUUUGUGUGAGAUUCAAGAUUUGGUGGGUAUUGUUAACUUAGACUUUCUCAAAUGGAAAAGUUGUAUACAUAAAAAUUUUAGAUCUUGAUGAUAUCUAACAACUUGGUAUUCAAAAGUUUUUCAUUUGAAGUAAUUUAGUUUGUCAUUUGACCAAGUUUGACCAAAACCCGUCUUGGAUUUUAUAGAAAUGUAAUUAGGAUUGGCUCAAAAUUAUCCAAAUGGAAAAAUGGACAAUAUAUAAAAUAUAGAUCUUGAUGAUCUCUAACAACUUUGUAUUCAAACUUUUUCCAUUUGAAGUCAUCAAAUGGGCCAUUUGACCAAGUUUGACCAAAGUCAAAGCACUGGUUUUUACAAACACACCCUUUGACCGAACCCUAGAUUGUCCCAAAUGGAAAAGUCAUGAAUACAAAGUUUGAUACACUCAUCAAGUUCUACAUUUUGUCUAAUGGUCAACUUUUCAUUUGGAAAAGUUUGAACCACUGAAUUUUGAAUUUUCAUAGAACUCAUAGCCACGCAGCGGUUUCGAAACCCUAGAUGGUCUCGAAUGGAAAAGUCAUGAAUACCAAUAUUGUUCCACUCAUCAAAAUCUACAUUUCAUAUAUACACCAUUUUUGCAUUUGACAAAGGUUUGGGAAGCUGUAGUUGAAAAUCCACAUUUGACACAUAUAGUCAUGACCAUUUUUGCAUUAGAUGAUCUCUAACAAUUGGAAAAGUCAUGAAUACAAAGUUUGUUAUACACAUCAAAAUUCACAAAUCUCAAAUAUAGUUUCAUACAAAGUCAAGCCGACACAACAGUGAACUUCUUCUUGACGUAUGACCCUUGGUUAUGAUCCUGGCGUAACAAUGGAGUAUCCUCAUUGUUUAACAGAAUGCUUGGGUCUUUGUUGACUAUGAAGGGCGGAAUUCGAUCAUCCCUUUCGUAAUCGCCUGACAUGUCUGACUUGUCCUCAAUUCCGACAAUGUUUCUUUUCCCAGAAAGGACAAUGUGGCGCUUUGGCUCAUUGAUGAUUGAGUGGUCAUCAUUUUUUCCUCUCUUUGGUUUCGUAGACAUAUCUUUGACAUAGAACACCUGACUCACGUCUGCAGCAAGGACAAAUGGUUCGUCUUUGAACGCACUAUUGUUAAGGUCCACGGUUGUCAUCCCAUACUCCUUGUCGACUGUUACCCCACCUCCGGUCAUCUUCACCCAUUGGCACCGGAACAAAGGAACUUUAAAAUUAGCUGCAUAGACUAGUUCCCAUAUGUCUUCUAUGCGUCCAUAAUAUAUUUGUCUGCUCCCAUUUGGAUCCGUGGCAUCCACGCGUACACCACUAUUUUGGUUGGUGCUCCUUUUAUCUUGGCCAACUGUGUAAAAUGUGUUACCAUUUAUCUCGUACCCUUUGUAUGUGAGGACAUGCCAUGAUGGUUGCCUGGCCAACAAAUAUAGCUGCUCAUCAAUGUUUUCAUCACCUUGACAUUUUUUGCGCAACCAAUCGCCAAAAGUUUCCAUGUGCUGACGCAUUAUCCAAGCUUCAUUCUUCCCGGGCCACUGGGACCGUAGGAAAUCUUUGUGUACCUCAACAUAUGGUUCCACCAAUGAGGAGUUCUGGAGAACUGUGUAGUGUGCUUUAUUGAAGUAAUCGUCUCCCGUACCAAUAUAUGUUUUCUUCCCAAGUGUUCCCUUUCCGCUAAGUCUGCCCUCGUGUCGAGAUUUAGGAAUGCCAAUUGGGUCAAGGUCUGGAAUAAAGUCAACACAGAACUCUAUGACCUUCUCUGUUCCGUAGCCCUUGGCAAUGCUUCCUUCCGGCCGGGAACGACUAUGGACAUAUUUCUUUAGGACACCCAUGAAUCUCUCGAAGGGGAACAUGUUGUGUAGGAACACAGGACCGAGAAUACGAAUCUCUUUGACCAGAUGAACUAGGAGGUGUGUCAUGAUAUCGAAGAAGGUUGGAGGGAACACCAACUCAAAGCUGACGGGACAUUGAGCGACAUCAUUCUGUAGAGUAGCUAGUUGCUCUGGAUUGAUUGCCUUCUGAGAAAUUGCAUUGAGGAAUGCACAUAGCUUUACGGUGGCUAGACGUACGUGUGGAGGUAGAAUUCCUCUUAAAACGACCGGCAACAAUUGCGUCAUUAGAACGUGACAGUCAUGGGACUUCAAGUUCAGGAAUUUCUUCUCUGGCACAUUAAUUAUUCCCUUGAUAUUGGAGGAGAAUCCAGAUGGGACCUUGAUGCUGCUAAGACAUUCAAACAUGCUUUCCUUCUCUUCUUUGCUCAGAGUGUAGCUAGCAGGGCUUAAGUAAUGACGUCCAUCAUCUGUCUUUUCUGGAUGCAGGUUGUCUCAUUCUUUCAUGCGCUGCAAGUCUUGUCGUGCUUCAAGUGAAUCCUUAGACUUCCCGUAGACACCCAUGAAUCCGAGCAAGUUCACACAAAGAUUCUUUGUUAGGUGCAUCACGUCGAUCGCAUUGCGGACCUCUAGGACAUUCCAGUAAGGUAGCUCCCAAAAUAUGGAUUUCUUCUUCCACAUGGGUACGUGUCCCUUAGCAUCCUUGGGAAUAGGUUCGCUGCCUCGUCCCUUUCCAAAUACCACUUUUAUAUCCUUGACCAUUUCGAGUACAUCAUCCCCGGUUCGAUUGAGAGGUUUGGUCCGGUGGUCUGCCUUGCCUUUAAAAUGCUUGCCUUUCUUUCGUACUAGGUGGUUCACAGGAAGAAACCGACGGUGGCCAAGGUACACGACCUCUCGACAUUUUUUCAAAAAUACACAGUCAAGGUCUUCAUAACAAUGUGUGCAUGCAUUAUAUCCCUUGUUUGACUAGUCUGAAAGAUUACUCAGAGCUGGCCAAUCAUUGAUUGUUACAAACAGCAAUGCUCGCAGGUCAAAGUGCUCUUGUUUGUUCUCAUCCCACACGCGAACUCCUGGUUUGCUCCAUAAAAGUUAAGUUCCUCAACUAAUGGCCUUAGGUAGACAUCUAUGUCAUUGCCAGGUUGCUUCGGUCCUUGGAUAAGCACCGACAUCAUAAUAAACUUCUGCUUCAUGCAUAGUCAUGGAGGAAGGUUGUAGAUACAUAGAGUAACUGGCCAAGUGCUGUGACUACUGCUCUGCUCACCGAAAGGAUUCAUACCAUCUGUACUUAAGGCAAACCGCAAGUUUCUAGCAUCAUCUGCAAAAUCUAGGAAUUCUCUGUCUAUCGCUCCCCACUGGGAUCCAUCGGCAGGGUGUCUCAGCAUAUUGUCUAUCUUACAGUCUUCUUUAUGCCACCGCAACAACUUUGCAUUGUCCUUAUUUCUGAACAGACGUUUUAAUCGUGGUAUUAUAGGAGCAUACCACAUAACCUUGGCUAGAAUUUUCUUCCUAUGACGUUCUUCACCCUCAACAUCACCAGGAUCAUCUCGUCUAAUCUUAUACCGUGAUGCCUUACAUACUGGACAUGCAUACAAAUUCUCGUAUUCCUCCCCACGGUAGAGGAUGCAGUCAUUAGGACAUGCGUGUAUCUUCUGGAUUUCUAAUCCUAAAGGACAGACAACCUGUUUUGCUUCAUACGUAGUGGUGGGCAAUUCGUUGUCUUUUGGAAGCAUCUUUUUUAUGAUCUUCAAUAACUGCCCAAAUGCCUUGUCAGAUGUACCAUUCUUUGCCUUCCAUUGCAGCAAUUCUAGUGUGGUACCCAGCUUUUUUGCCCCUCUUCAGCGGUGGGAUAUAGCGAUUUCCUGUGGUCCUCUAGCAUGCGCUCGAACUUGGCUUUCUCUUUAUCACUUUCACAUUCUCUUUGUGCAUCACGGAUGGCAUCACCAAAAGCAUCAUCGCCCCGAUCAUCUUCUGCCGCCACCUCUUCUUCAUUAUCUCCCCCCAUUGCAACAUCAUUGAAGCCACCGUACCGAGCAAUAAUAUUGGCAUGGUCCAAUUCUUCUUCUUCUUCACCUUCAUCCAUUAUAAUCCCGCUUUCUCCAUGUUUGGUCCAACAAAUGUAGUUUUGUACGAAACCUGACUUUAAUAAGUGUGAAUGAAGAGUUCUUGAGUUAGAAUAUUUCGUCAAAUUCUUGCACACGGCACAUGGACAGCACAUGAAACCGUCCCUCUUAUUUGACUCGGCCACACUUAAGAAAUAGUGCACGCCAUUAAUGAACUCUUCGGAGCGCCGAUCGGCAUUAUACAUCCAAUUACGUGUUACCAUCUGCAUUAAAUAUAAUAUAUAUAUUAUGAAAAAAAUGCACACAUAUAGUUUCUCAUCUUAUUGCACAACAUGUCUAAGAUACAUAGUUGAUUAAUUUAGGAAAGCUUGGCUACAACAAAUACAAUCGCAACUAGCACUAAAAAAACCAAAACUAAAAUGCACUUAAGCAACAUAAUUAGUUCGCGUCCAAUCCCAACUAUAAUAGAUAGAUCAUUCGCUUGAUCAAUAUCAUUGAACUCCUUUCGUCGGCUCACUGCCUCACCACCUUUAGCCUCAACCACCUGUGCAAAAGAUUUCUUAAUGUGUUCAAUGUAUUCUUCCUCCCAGUACCAACCUGUACAUCCGCCGGUACCGUCCCACUGAAAUUAAAAGAGAGAAUCAAAAGUUUAAUUAAUAACAUUUAAAAAAAUAUGCACAUAUAUAAGAAAAUGUCUGGAAAUAACUCACAUUACGAUCUGGAUACUUGUAGAAUAUACGACCCUUGUUUACUCCCUCUUUCGAUACUUUGUACUCCAUCAAAAUCUUCUGCCCACACUUGCCACAAGUAAUGAGAGGGAGUUCCGGACGGUAUCGCUUUUGAACCCGUUGAGAGACCGAAGACCCGGUCACGGUUGCCAUCUACUAUCCAUACUCAAUUUUUAAACAAUUAUAAAUUCCACAUUUACUAGUAAACAUGUAUGAUACAAUGGACAUUAUAUGUAGUAAUAAAAAUAAAUCAAGUGAUAUUAACAAACCAAUUAAUUUGAACUAUCCUACUUUCUAAGAUCAUAAAAAUAUACUAUAAUUCAUUCUUGCAAACUACAUUAAUACUAGGUCAACCAUGAAAUAUGAUAUAUAUAUAUAUGGAUACUAAUUAAUGUGAAUGAUUCAAAAUAACAACGUGGAUUUGAGCUAAAAAUAAUGCGAACAUCACAAGCCAAAAACAACAUGAAAAGACAAGAAAGACAAAAGUUAGUCACCUCCGAGCACGAAGAGACGAUGACGGAGUCGAAGAAGAUCAACGAUGAGCGUUGGAGAUGAAGAACAAAUGAAGAACAAGCAAGAAGAAGCUCCAAGAACAACAAUGGUGCUCUCGGUUUCAAAUGGGCAGAGGGGAGGAGGGACCGGCCUAUAAACCGGAACUUUAGCACCGGUUCAGGGGAAAAACCGGUUCUAAAGGGUUACCCUUUAGCACCGGUUUGUGUUACGAACCAGUGCUUAAGGGUUUGCCUCGGCCCGUGGCUCUGGCCGGUGCUAAAGGGUCCCUGUCCCGACAACACCUGUCAGUAGCCGUUGGGCAGGACCCUUUAGCACCGGUUCGUGUUACGAACCGGUGUUAAAGGGGUCUUUAACCCCGGGCCGCAAAAAGGCCGAGGUUUUUGGCCAUUUUGGGCAUCGACCAAGGCCUCAUUCUGUAGUAGUGAUGAUGAUCUACAGGAGGAGCUACGUGACCAGCAGGAUUCCUUGGAUCGCUUCCAGGAGAUGGUUGACAGCCUUAGAGAGCAGCUUGACUUGCCACCGCUCUACAAGAAGAAGACCGCACCUCCUAGCAUCUCCGGCGACGCACCAUAGGCCUAGGAUGCCAUAGUUGUUUUAUUUUGUAGUCCCGUUGUGUCAGUUGAGUUUGAAGUGUUUUUGAACAAUUGAUGUGUCCGUUGAAUUUGUUUAUGACUUUGCAUGAUUUGAAUCUUUGUAAUUACUGCUGGAAGGUUGUGGAUUUAUCUACAAACUUCUGUUAUCUUAAGUUUAAUUAUCGAAUGCUUAGUUGGGUUGGUAUAUUCUGCUGUUGCUGUGCUGUUUUUCUGGAGCAGCCUGUGAUGUUUAACUUUCAUCUCUGAAGUGGUACGUCCAAAACUUCUGAAAUUUUUGUGGAGGAAACUAGACUGCGGUAUCUCUCUUUUGCAACCGGAACCAAGUCAAAACCUGCUCGGGUCUGGGAGAUAUCCUUGUUACAAUCUGGGACUAUUGCGCAGACUAGAACACAGAACAGAUUCACUUUACCCCUGAUUUUGAUCAAGAUAAUGUCAGAACCUGUAAAAGUGGUCUGAACAAAAGUUGUAACAAAUUUCAUAAGCUUUCCAAACAUGUAUGGCAUGCCUCAGUUGGAUCUCAGAAACUCGAGUCAUGAGUUAAAUACUGCACUGCUGAUUUUGCAUCUUGUCCAGAAAAAUUUCAGCAAAGCUUAAUUGAUAUUAUAAUCAGUUUAUAAUUAUGGAAAGACCUCUAAAAGCUUAUUCCUUUGUUGGAAACAGAUGGCUGAUGAAGGAGGAAGAGGCCGUGGUCGAGGUCGAGGCCGUGGCCGUGGACGUGGCCAUGCGCACCGGUGGAUCCACCGCCACCACCACAGCCUGUGACAGUGGAGCAGCUCAUGCUGGUGCAAGCUCAAUUGAUGCAAACUAUGAUGGAUCGCCUGGAUCACCAGCCCGCCGUCGUACCACCACCGGUCCAGGUUCGCGAUAAGAGGGGAGAGUUCAUGAAGGGAUGUCCCCCUAUUUUUACACAUGCUAGUGACCCUUUAGAAGCUGAUGAUUGGUUAAGAGCCGUGGAGAAGCAGCUGAACAUUGCUCAGUGCAAUGAGAUGGAGAAGGUGUUGUAUGCCUCCGGACAACUGCAAGGGGCUGUACAGGAAUGGUGGGAGUCCUACCAAUAUGGAUGCCCAAACAAUGCACCACCUGUCACUUGGAGGGAAUUCACCGAGAGUUUCCGGUCUUACCACAUUCCAGAGGGGCUCAUCGAGCUCAAACAAGAGGAGUUCCGUGCUCUCAAGCAAGGCUCUAUGACUGUCGCUGAGUACCAUGACAAGUUCGCUCAAUUGUCACGUUACGCUCCGGGUGAAGUAGCCAAGGAUUCUGACAAGCAACGUCGUUUCCUGAAAGGACUGUAUGAUGGCCUGCAACUGCAGUUGAUGUCCAAUGUUUACCCUAGCUUCCAGGAACUUGUCAACCGUGCUAUUGUGAUCGACAAUAAGUGCAAAGAGAUGGAUGCUAAGAAGAGGAAGAUUCAGGGGCAGCCAUCUAGCAGCAACACUCGUCCGCGCGUGUUUCCUCAGCAGGGCUUUCCUCCCAGGAACCAGAGGCCCCCUAGUCAAUGGAAUCAGGGCCAGUACCCUCCGCGCAACCAAAACCAGAAUCAGCAGUGUCCUCAGUACCAGCAACAGUUUGGUAAUCAACGCCCUCAGCAGCAAGCUAACCCCUAGGCACCACGUCCAGGUGUGCCCAACAAUGCUCCAAUGAAGACAGCAGUGGCAAACAACCCCAAUGCUUGCUACCGUUGUGGUGAAGUGGGUCACUAUGCCCAUCAGUGCCCGAAGAAGCAGAACCCCUCAGCUCCACAGAAUCAGAAUAACAAUCAGAGGCCUAGUGCUGGACCACCCCACACUAGAAGGGUGAACCAUGUGUCUACUGAAUCAGCUUAGGAGGCACCCGAGGUCAUGCUGGGUACGUUCCGUAUCAACUCCAUCCCUGCUACUGUACUUUUUGAUUCCGGAGCUUCGCAUUCUUUCAUCUCGCAAGUUUUUGUUAGAGUACAUAGCAUAGCUUUAUGUGCCAUGAAAAACUCAAUGCUAGUGAAUUCACCGGGGGGUACUAUGCCAGCUAACUAUUGGAGUCCCUCCACUAGUGUUUCUCUAAGGGGGGUAGAGUUCAAAGUAAACCCCGUUGUGCUAAGAACUUCUGGUAUUGACCUUAUCCUUGGGAUGGAUUGGAGGAAGCAACAUCGGGUAGUGAUUCAAUGCCAGGAGAAGUCUGUGCUAGUAACAUCACCUAAAGGGGAUAGAAUUUGUGUAGAAGUGGCAGUGCAAGCGCCUCCAACUGCUACCGUGAACUUGUUGACUGAUGAGGUCAAUGAGGAGAACCAAGUGGUGGAUGACUUCCCUGAUGUGUUCCCUGAUGAAUUGCAAGGUAUGCCACCUGACCGAGACAUCGAAUUCCUUAUUGAACUUUUACCUAGAACUGCACCUAUAGCUAAAAGACCUUAUAGAAUGGGAGUGAAUGAACUAGAGGAACUUAAGAAACAAAUUAAGGAGUUGUUAGAGAAGGGUUUUAUUCAUCCUAGUUCAUCACCUUGGGGAGCACCCGUUAUCUUUGGCGAUAAGAAAGAUGGUACCAGGAGAAUGUGUGUGGAUUACCGGUCACUAAAUGAAGUAACCAUAAAAAACAAGUACCUUUUGCCUAGAAUUGAUGACAUGUUUGAUCAGUUCAAAGGUGCUUGUGUGUUCUCAAAAAUAGACCUUCGAUCCGGAUAUCACCAACUGAAAAUCCGUGCAUCGAAUGUACCUAAGACAGCCUUUACUACCAGGUAUGGCUUGUAUGAGUACACAAUUAUGUCUUUUGGGCAGACCAAUGCACCCGCAUAUUUCAUGUACCUCAUGAACAAGGUGUUCAUGGAGUUCUUGGAUAAGUUUGUAGUGGUGUUCAUUGAUGACAUACUUAUCUUUUCCAAAACUAUAGAGGAACAUGCGGAGCAUCUGAGGCUAGUCUUACAAAAGCUUAGAGAACAUAAGCUAUAUGCGAAAAGAAGCAAGUGUGAGUUUUGGCUAAAGGAGGUCUCCUUUCUAGGACAUGGUUUCUAAUGGAGGGUUAGCCGUGGACCCCAGCAAGGUGCAAGAUGUGUUGAAUUGGAAAGCCCCGACCAAUGUGAGUGAAAUCCGUAGCUUUCUGGGAUUGGCCGGAUAUUAUAGGAGAUUCAUUGAAGGAUUCUCUAAACUUGCUAAGCCCAUGACGGCCUUAUUAGAGAAGAGUGCUAAGUUUGUUUGGUCAGACAAAUGCCAUGCUAACUUUGAGGAGUUAAAGAAGAGGUUGACCACUGCUCUGGUGUUGACCUUACCUAACUUAAGCAAGAGCUUCUCCAUCUAUUGUGAUGCUUCUCGCUUAGGUUUAGGUUGUGUGCUCAUGCAAGAAGGAAGAGUAGUGGCCUAUGCAUCUAGGCAGUUGAGGAAACAUGAGUUGAAUUACCCUACUCAUGAUCUGGAGCUAGCCGCAGUGGUCCAUGCCUUAAAAAUCUAGAGGCAUUACUUGAUUGGUCAUAAGUGUGAAAUUUACACAGACCAUAAGAGCCUAAAGUAUAUUUUCACCCAGUCAGACCUGAAUCUGAAGCAACGUCAUUGGUUAGAGUUGAUCAAGGAUUAUGACCUGGAAGUGCAUUAUCACCCUGGGAAAGCAAAUGUAGUUGCAGAUGCACUUAGUAGGAAAAGCUAUGUCAACAGACUUCAGCUGACAUUUAUUCCAGCUGAGUUGCGAGCCAAAAUAGAACACCUCAACAUAGGCUUUGUGAAUCAUACCAUGGGUCUAGAGAUAGAGCCAACAUUAGAACAAGAGAUACGUAAGAGUCAGUUGGAGGAUGAGAAAUUAAAAGAGAUAGCAGAUAAUGUAGUGCUUGGAAAGGCACCAAGCUUCAAGAUAGAUGAGAAUGGUACCCUAUGGUUUGGGAAAAGGAUAUGUGUGCCUGAAGUGAAGGCUAUCCGAGACACAAUUCUACGUGAGGCGCAUGACUCUGCUUAUUCAAUACACCCUGGGAGUACCAAGAUGUAUUUGGACCUAAAGGAGAGAUAUUGGUGGUAUGGAUUGAAAAGGGAUGUAGCGGAGUAUGUUGCUCUGUGUGACACCUGUCAGAGUGUGAAAGCUGAGCACCAAUGACCUGUAGAGUUGUUGCAACCAAUGCAGAUACCCGAAUGGAAAUGGGAAGAAGUCGGUAUGGACUUUAUUCCCGGGUUGCCAUGUACUCAACGUGGGUAUGACUCGAUUUGUGUAAUAGUAGACCGACUCACUAAGGUUGCACAUUUCUUACCAGUCAAAACCAACUACAAUGGGGCAAGGUUAGCCGAGCUGUACAUGGAAAGGAUAGUGUGCUUACACGGAGUUCCAAAGAAGAUCAUGUCCGAUCGAGGAACUCAGUUUACAUCGCACUUUUGGCACAAAGUACAUAGAUCCUUGGGAACUAAGCUGAACUUCAGUUCUGCUUAUCAUCCCCAGACUGAUGGACAGACAGAGAGAAUUAAUCAAAUCUUGGAGGACAUGCUGAGAGCUUGUGCUCUACAGUAUGGCACUAGUUGGGACAAAAGUCUGCCGUAUGCUGAGUUUUCCUAUAACAACAGCUACCAGAAGAGACUCAAGAUGGCACCAUUUGAAGCUUUGUAUGGUCGCAAGUGUAGGACACCUUUAUUCUGGAAUCAAACUGGUGAGACACAGGUGUUUGGACCAGACGUCCUAAGAAGUGCUGAAGAACAAGUGAGGAUGAUUAGGGACAAUCUAAGAGUGGCUCAGUCCAGACAGAAAAGUUAUGCCGACACCCGAAGAAGGGAUUUGAGCUUCAAAGAGGGUGAUUUUGUAUAUCUGAAGGUAUCUCCAAUGAGGAGUGUGAAGAGAUUCAAUGUGAAGGGUAAGCUAGCACUGAGAUACGUCGGACCUUUCAGGAUUCUUGCAAGACGUGGAGAAGUAGCCUAUCAGUUAGAACUUCCUGAGAGCUUGUCAGGUGUACAUGAUGUAUUCCAUGUUUCUCAGUUGAAGAAGUGUUUGCGGGUACCUGAAGAGCAGAUUCCUAUAGAAGAGUUGACCGUUAAAGAAGAUCUCACAUAUGAAGAGUACCCGAUAAAGAUCUUCGAAACUGCAGACAGAGUUACAAGAAGCAGAACUAUAAAGAUGUGUAAAGUACAGUGGAACCGUUAUACCAAAGAUGAAGCCACCUGGGAAAGAGAAGAGGAUUUGAGAAAGUCGUAUCCACAACUGUUUGAGUAAGCAUCACCCAUUCUCGAGGAUGAGAUUAUUUUUAAGGGGGUAGAAUUGUAACACCCAAAAUUUGGCUCUUUUAAAAAUAGAUGAAUUUGACUUUAUUAAAUAAUUUUGUGAGCAUUUUUAAUAUAGUAAAAUAAAUAAAUUUGGGGAAUUAAAACUUAAUAUAAGUUUAGACUAAUAUUUUUGUUGCAUGCAUGCUGGUGCACUUCUUUUAUGUGAUGAGUGGUUUUGAACAAAGGAAUUUGAAUUAAAAAAUUCAUUUGGGAAAAAGUUUGAAAAUUUUGUUUGGAAAAUAAAAAGGAAAAAAGCUUUUCUCUCUCCCCCUUCCUUCUUUUCGGCCAUUUUGGCCCAAACCCCACGCCCCCUUCCUAGGCCACGGCCCAGCUGGAUCCCCCUCCCUUCCCCCUCUCUCUCUGGCGGCUGACGGAUGGGGCCCACCCGUCAGGUCUUUCCCCUUCCUCCAACCGCCCGCCCAAUCUUCUCUCUCUCAGUUGAAAACCGCCAAGCCGCGCCCCUCUCCCCCACGAUCCUCUCCUCUACCCCGCGCCCAGAUAAGUAGUGGGCUGAGAGCCGCGCGCCUCCUUCUCCUCCCCAGUUCCCCUCCCCUCGCCUCUGCUCCCAACCGUGAGCGCGCAGAGAGAACCGUCGCCGGGUCGCCGGAGAAUUUCGUCGGCCGCACGAAGCCGCUGCUCCGAGCCGUCUUCGUCUUCCUUCUUCGCGUCGGUGAGCGCGCCUCAUCCUCCUCUCCCUCUUUGGCCUUCUCCCGAGCGAGGUGGUGCUCUCUAGGAUCGUCCCCGCAAGCUUCGAAGGUGCCAUCAAUGGCGGCUCCGUCGGUCGCUUUGCGGGGGAGUUUUCGGGUCAUUCCGAGGCCGGGAGCGAGUUCGCCGCGACCUCCUCUCUCUCCCGGUGUAUUUAGUUUCGCGAAACUGAGCGUUGUAGCGUGUUUUUAGGCGUCUCCAGCGAGCUCGGGCCGGUCAGCCAUGGACCGCCGCCGCCUCCUGCUGCAUCUUCGGCGGCCGCGCCCCCUGUUUCUCUCUCUCUUUCUCAUCUUAUAAUCUGAGCCGUGGAUCUCUAAUCCAACGGCCCAAAGUGCUCCAUACCCCUUCGGGGGCAAUCUUGUUAAAGAAUCCCCCAAAAAUAUUGAAAAUUGCACCGUAGUCCUCGGCCAGAGGGAUUUUUUCCAGGAUUUAAUUCAUUUAUUUAAAUUCAUUUAAACUCUGCUUUAUUUACAGAAUUGCCACCGUAUUGUUUUAGCUACAAAAUCGUCGUUUGAACUCUGAAUCGAUCCGUUCAAGUUGCGUUAGUUUCGUAAUUUCAUAAGCUUCGCGUUGGUACCACUGUUGUUUAGGUUUACUACUGUUAGAUUUCCUAGUUAAUUACAAGACCCUAGAUUGCUGUUGAAAUCCCGUUAAAAGCGUAACUUUCGCGUCGUAAGUCCGUUUUCGUGAAUUUCGUGUUGACGUGAUCGUAGCAGCACGUAGAUAAUUUUGGAAAACUUUUAUUUAAUUUAUUUACUGCUGGUGUACUGUUCUAACUUUAGGAAUUGUUCUCUUGCAUGUUUGUCUUGGUAUGUGUUGACGGUCCUUAAUGCUCACAUUUAACCAUCAACUAAUCAUGUAAAAGGAUCCAAAUGCAACCAACACCCAGACUUAGGGUUUUAUCUGACAGAAUUCCACGAGUUUUGGUGUUUGUCUAUUUCUGCAGGGGGUUAUCAGGAAAUACGGAAGAAAGGCCCACACGUCGGUUUUACAUAGAGAUAUUAAUGUGCCGCGCAAUUUUCUAUCAUCUAGAAGACUCCAGAAGCCACAGAAAGGAUGCGGAGGCCGAGAGGACUCAGGGACAGGGUGCCCGCCCUCCUUUCCUGGGCACCCGCCCUCAACCAGAGUCCAAUCAGGACUCUCUUUCGGGAUAUUGCUUCACCGACCUAAAGCAUCAAGGAUAACCGUUCAAUCAAUGUUGGUUUGAUCCAACGGCCCAGAUUCACUUGAAGGGACUAUAAAACCAGACCCCCUGGCCCCUGGAGAUCAUACCUCUUCUACAGAAUCAAAGCUAGGGUUUCAAUUCUUCAUCCAAGUAGAGAGGAUCUCUCUAGUUCUUCUAGUUCUACCUCUAGUUCAUCUAGAUCUAGUUCUAGUUCAUCUAGUUCUAGUUCUAGUUCCUCUAGUUCUAGUUCUAGUUAGUUCUAGUUGUAAUCUAGAAAAUAGGGAGAGAGAAGAGGAGAGCGGAGGAGGAGCCGGAUCUGUCGGAUCUUCCUCAACAUUAUACUUUUGCAGCAUCUGGUUCGUUCUUCAUCGUUCUCUAGGUUCUUCAAUUCAUAAUUCCUGAGUUCUUUAAUUACUUUUAUUUACAUUCAAGUUAUUUAUUGGAUUCCCGCUUGCAUCAAGUACUCUAGUCUUUAUAACGCUAGAGUAGUAAUUAAUAGAUUAGACGUGGUGUUUAGUCUUGCAAUUACCUGGAAUUGCACCCAAUCCAACGGAUUGUUGUGGUAGCCUUAGGGUAGUGACAGCCCUAACGGUCGACAUAUUCCACCACGUUCGGAUCGGUGUUUGUAGGACCGUAGUUAGACCUUCCUAGCCCUCUUCUCAUCUCUUUCUGUGGUUAGUGCUCUGAUGUCCCGAUAUAGAUAAUCUUGAAGUAACUCUUGAUUCUUAGAUCAACUAGAGAACUCUCAGGAAACUUCCUCUCUUCCCACCAAAAAUAAUUAUAUAGUUAUCCUUGGGCGAUCUUGGAUCUUAAUUAGUACACUCACGUUCUCUGUGGAAAAUCGAUACUCUGGAAUACUCCCAGGUGAAGGCUACAUCGGUAUCCGUGCGCUUGCGGAUUUUUCUGUUUGCGUUUAAAAUACCCAACAAGCUUUCUGGCGCCGUUGCCGGGGAAUGGUAGCUAUGCUAGUUUCGAACCAAGUCGUCCGUGUAUCCUUUUUCUUUUCCUUUUUUACCACACUCACCUUACCAUUUUCACCACACCACAUGGAUUUCACUCUAAGCAUUAAUGAGCAUGGAAUUUAUUUCAUAGCCACUUCAUUUACUCCAUGCUCAUAUGCAACAUCUUCCCAAUCCAUUGGUUUUUCCAACAUCACCACAUUCGAGAUCUCCAACCCUCACAGCCUUUCUAUUUAUAAAAACUUUAAAAGGGCGGUUGUCGAUGCAUAUGUCUAUAUUAAAUAUUGCAGAUCUCGUUGAGUUGAUCUUGAUAUAGGUCAGCGUUGGAGGGGAAACCACUUCGCCGACAUAAAUUGAUGGUUUCCCAAGGACAAGCUUAGUGUCCUAAAACAAGCACUGAUCAGCUUGUAACAUGAGCUUUUAAUUAUUUGCAACAUUACCUUGUGUGUUGAGCAUAUAAGGAUAAUUGUAAAAAUAUUCCUUCGGGUAUUCUUGUCACUAACCUUUCUAGGAUUGGAGCAAGAAGAUCGGAUGAAUGACAAGCACAAGGUAUGUCCAACCAAUCAUCAUACAACAUUGAAUUAAAUUCAUCCAAACUUGAAUUUUGCAAAAUUCAAGCUUGGGGGAGUACUUUACAUAAAAACAUCCUUUGCCAUGUUGUUGUGUUGGUUGUCCCUACCUUUGAGACAUGCUCAAUUUGUUAAAUACUAAUCACACUACUUCAUCUCCAUUUGAGAAGAUCUCUAUAAAUGCUCUCAUGCUACCUUUAUUUGCUUUAGUAUAUGUCUAGGUUUGGAGUAGUUUCAUUUAUCUCAUAAUUAAGCAUGGUGCUUAGUUAGGAAUGUUGAUCUUACUUCCAAGGGAGUUUAAAUUAAGCAUGAUGCUUAGGUUAAAAUGCCCUCCUAAAUCAAAUUAGACAUGGUGUCAAGGUUGAUCUUUGAGCCGAUGGUAUGCUAUAGUAGAUAUUGGAUAUUUUGUUGGACUAACCCCUGCAGGAAAACUUUCAAUAUCAACAUGGGAGGUCCUCAGAUAAACUCACAUUGGAGACAAAGAGAGAGACACAUGAAGUUUAACAAUUUACACAAGGAAGGCAUAGCUCACAAGAGAUGAUCCAUGGAGGGUGCUACAAACACGAUGCACAACCACUAAGAAAGGAAAGCUUCCACAAGGUAAUACUGUACCAUCACUCUUCAAGUAAGGUAAUAUCUUAAGGUACUUGACUAUCACUUUUAUAAAGCUUCUCUUUGGUUCUGGCGUUCACAUGAAUAAAAAAGACAAACAUGUAUGAUUUACAACACUAGAUUAACCAACCCAAUCGAUUCAAUAUGUUUAGUCCUUCUACCUUUGUGAGCCCACACUCCUAAUCAUAUGACCUAAAAUGUUGCACACUCAAUCUUUGGAAGAUAUAUUUUAUAAAAAAAACAACAUAAAUAUAGAUAGAUUAUCUUUCCAUUAGGUUGAGCGAUCGGAUCUGACAAAUGUUUUAAAUGCUACACUCAUGAUUUUAUUAUCCAUCAAUUUUGUCUUGCUCACUAUGCUUAAGGUUAGAGAUGAACAAAUACACUUUUGGUUCUGUUGGUGUUUUCCACCAACAGGGCCCAUGCACUUGAUCUCUGCCUUGUUUCUAUGAGCAGGUACACUUCGAGCAAAAUAUGAAGGACUUUUACAACUCCCACACUCCACCAAGUGAAGAACCUAGAUCUACGAGCUCAAACACACUGGGGAUACUGGACACUCAGGCAAUCACUGCCCUGAGAUGCUUGAGGACGUAACUACUGGAGUAACCCCAUUGUGGAAGUAAUUACUGACCUUCUGCCGGUCAAGAGAGACAACCCAGGACGCCCCGUCAUCCCGAUCUCCAUGGGCAUGGUGGACUUCCUAGAAGCACUCUGCGACUUUGGCUCCAGCGUCAACAUUAUGCCCAAGGUACUCUAUGAAAAAAUUGUUUACACAUCCUUUACUAGAAACAACCGUGUGCUUGCAGCCUACAGAUCAGACACUAAGUUUCCCAAAGGGAAUAUUGAAGAACCUCUACGUCUGAGUUGGUACCUUGUACGCCCCAGCAAACUUCAUGGUGAUAGAGACUGGUACUGAUGAGAGGGCACACAUCUUACGGAGGCCAUUCCUGAACACCUCGGGAGCUGUCAUCUACGCUAGUGCUGCCAAGAUCAGUUUCUACAUCAAAGGGAGAAAUGAGACGUUUUCCUUCAAGAACAAGACUACACAAAUCUCAGAGCAUUCCCGACAUGGACCAAGGAAGAGGACCAACAGGAGGAACAGGAACAAGCAAGUGUGGACCGAGUCAGCUAAGAUGGUCACAGCAGUUCAAGGAGGUCAAGAUCAUCUAUUUAAGUCACAAGUUCCUGACCAAAAAGGACGACCCAGGCAUGCCAAGCAUCCAGUGCUCCAUUAAUGGAUACAACUUCCAGAAGACGCUUUGCGACACCGGGUCAGGCAUCAACAUAAUGGCCGCAGUCACCUAUCAACUCCUGUUCGGAACCAUACCCCUAAAACCGACAUACAUUUAGCUCCAGAUGGAAGAUCAGACAUUCCGAAAGGUUGAAGGUUAUUGACAUGGGAGAAGACGAGCACGAUCCACCCAUCAUCCUUGGAAGACCGUUCCUCAGCACUGUUAAAGCAAUCAUCUAGAUUGGAACCAGAGAAGUCCACAUGCACUUCCCCUCUAACAAGGUACGCCGCUACUUUACUGACCUUAAUUAUAUAGUUGAAGACUCUAAGCAGGUCAGGACAAGAAGAAGAUGACGCAACCGUAACCAGAGAAGGCAAAAUCAUCAAGGACGGAUGGGUAGACUAUGAAGGAGAAGUUGUAAGGUCUGAAGACAUACAACUUGAAUAGAACUGUCCUGAGGAGACCGUAGCACCGAGUCAGGUGUGGAGAGAGAAGAUAGUUAUACAUGAAGAGGAGGCGCCGCCGGAACCACCGACUACGCCAUCCAGCGAAUCCCAGGACGAAUGAGAAAAACGGAGAGUCCCGUUCGGAGGACGUCAAAACACCGAACGCCUUGCCAAAAGGUAAACUUGAUAGUUAUCUUUUUCCUUUCAAUUAUUUAAAAUAGUUUGGUUAGUUAAUCAGGUUCAUAUCAUCUUGAAAAGAAAAUAAAAAUGUUGAAAAUAGUAAGCCCCAUGUGAGUAUGCUCAUGACAUAAAACCCAUAAGUACAUUCACGGUGGUGGUGUAAAAAUGAAAUAAAUAUAUUCCUGUCCUAUAAAAAUAAAAAUACAAAAAUAAAUUUAUGAUCCUACUAAAGAUAGUAACAUUUAUUGAGGAGGCUCAACAUGAUAAAGGCUAGAUUUUAUGCUAACACUUAACCAGUUCCACAAAGCUUUGUUGUCUAUUUGAGCUCCACAGAAUUCAAGGAUCAAAGAAGACUAGCAGACGGAGGACAUCCUAAUCACUGUCACGUUGCUGCUGACAUUCAAAUACACCUCCACCACUUGCUAGCUACAUCAGAAGGAAUUAUGUCAAAAUCCAGCUUGGGGGAGAGCACCCCCAUUUAUCCAGCUAAGUGUUCUACUCAUGUAUAUAUUUUACUCAAAUAAUAAAAAGAUGCAUAAUCAUAAAAACCCAAAUAAAGAUUUUGUGCUUAUAUAUAUAUCUCUCUUCUUAGUUUGCUAAAUAAAUAAAUAAAUAAAUAAAGUUUGCUAUGAACCCUCAUGAUAAGCUCUCACAUGGAAAAGAUGAAUAGUUGCUCUACCAUGACUAGUUCUUAAAAUUGAAAUCUCUCUCAAGUUUAGGCAUGACUGGUAUUAAUUAAGAUUUGCUCAAAACCUGAACUUGUGGGGAGAGUACUUGAUCUAAAGUCUAAGUCGUUAACGGAUAUGAUAUGGGAAAGUUGAGCUGCUGUUUAUCUAUUCCUAGAGAUGCUAGAAUUUUGGAGAAUUUUAUCUUUGAAAAUCUUUAAAAUAUCACAUGAUGAGUUCCUGUAUGAUGAGAGUUUAAAUUCCUACCACAGCCAUAUAUACAUGCUUGCUAGACUUUGAGCCACACAUUUACUUUUUACUGCUUAUGAGCAUUGAGUGUGGUCAAGCUGUGUAGACCCUUAGGAGCCUGUCAUGUGGUUAAAUCAAGAUUCACUUGCACGUUCACUCAGACAUGCUGCUUCUACUCUGGAAGUACGCAUCCACAUAUAUCCACCCAUUUCCAUCUCCAGAAUCACCUAAAAAUAUUCUACUCCUAAUCUGGGAGAGAAUAGCCAAAAACAUUUUUGUUUUUCACUGUGAAAUAAAUGCUCAAGUUAUCCUUGUUACUACCACUUGCUAUAUUAUUUCAGGAGAUGAGUGCUCUAAAAAAAAGAAAAAAAAGUAUACGAGGAAAUAAAAAGGGGCAAGUGCCCGGAACCUCAAAAGAAAAGAAAAAGUGAGACGAGAGGUAAAAAUGGACAAGUGUCCGACAGUAGAAUUAGGGGUACAAGAUACCCACCUGAGAGAAAAGAAAAAAGAAAAUAUAGAGCAUCUCAUUCUCCUCAAAAAGUUUCAAAAGAGCAAGAAAGGUAUGUAUCCCCUCAAAAGAGCACAAGUAGAAUUAGACUUUCACCAUUGUUAUCACCAUUACUUUCACCAUUAUCACCAUUCAUUCGCCACACAUGCACAUCUUGAUUUGACUUAUUGACUUGUUCUUCUGGAUCCAUGGUUUGACUAUGCAAUAAAUGUCUUGUAAGUAUGUAUUAGCUGUCUCCCACCUAUGAGCUCCAGAUAUCAAAACCUUAUUAGAGUAGGGUGAGAGAGAAGGCAAUGCCACUAUGCCUCAUACCAAAAAUACCACAUACUUUGAGAGAAGGCAUACACCAUCACUGCCUUGGUAAGGAUCCAGAAAUACCACAAAAGAGAGACUAGAGAGAGUCGUACAAGGAAUCUCUGAGUUUUAUUUGAAAAUCUGCAAAAACUCUAGAGCUAUAUUUAAUCGAAGAACAAGAGACAUGGCGCUUGACUAGACCGUUCUAUCUUUUAACUACUCAAGACACAAGUGACGGUUGCAAGCCCCAUGGUGGAAGGUAAAAUGAGUAAGUUUAAAUCUUAACAGUUUACCCUAACCCAGAGAUGAGAUCUUGUUUAAACGCAUGUGUAUCUUUAAGGUAUGAAACCAAUGUAGAAACUCUUGAGUUCAUCUUUGCUCAGGGACGAGCAAAGGUUAAGCUUGGGGGAGCUUGUUGACGGUCCUUAAUGCUCACAUUUAACCAUCAACUAAUCAUGUAAAAGGAUCCAAAUGCAACCAACACCCAGACUUAGGGUUUUAUCUGACAAAAUUCCACGAGUUUUGGUGUUUGUCUAUUUCUACAGGGGGUUAUCAGGAAAUACAGAAGAAAGGCCCACACGUCGGGUUUACAUAGAGAUAUUAACGUACCACGCAAUUUUCUAUCAUCUAGAAGACUCCAGAAGCCACAGGAAGGAAGCGGAGGCCGAGAGGACUCAGGGACAGGGCGCCCGCCCUCCUUUCCUGGGCGCCCGCCCUCAACCAGAGUCCAAUCAGGACUCUCUUUCGGGAUAUUGCUCCACCGACCUAAAGGAUCAAGGAUAACCGUUCAAUCAAUGUCGGUUUGAUCCAACGGCCCAGAUUCACUUGAAGGGACUAUAAAACCAGACCCCCUGGCCCCUGGAGAUCAUACCUCUUCUACAGAAUCAAAGCUAGGGUUUAGGGUUUAGGAUCCCUCUAGUUCUUCUAGUUCUACCUCUAGUUCAUCUAGAUCUAGUUCUAGUUCAUCUAGUUCUAGUUCUAGUUCCUCUAGUUCUAGUUCUAGUUAGUUCUAGUUGUAAUCUUGAAAAUAGGGAG
This 38895-nucleotide long non-coding RNA is filed under the name Sorghum bicolor (sorghum). RNAcentral describes it as "long non-coding RNA (SBIC_LNC004609)". The stretch from base 24735 to 24828 matches the Rfam family "MIR5387 microRNA precursor family". Lineage: Eukaryota; Viridiplantae; Streptophyta; Magnoliopsida; Poales; Poaceae. The record is from RNAcentral.